AUACGAAGGGGGCUAGCGUUGUUCGGAAUCACUGGGCGUAAAGCGCACGUAGGCGGAUUUGCCAGUCAGGGGUGAAAUCCCGGGGCUCAACCUCGGAACUGCCUUUGAUACAGCAGGUCUAGAGUCCGGAAGAGGUGAGUGGAAUUCCUAGUGUAGAGGUGAAAUUCGUAGAUAUUAGGAGGAACACCAGUGGCGAAGGCGGCUCACUGGUCCGGCACUGACGCUGAGGUGCGAAAGCGUGGGGAGCAAACAGGAUGAGAUACCCUGGUAGUCCACGCCGGAAACGAUGGAUGCUAGCCGUUGGCAAGCUUGCUUGUCGGUGGCGCAGCUAACGCAUUAAGCAUCCCGCCUGGGGAGUACGGCCGCAAGGUUAAA
This 375-nucleotide ribosomal RNA is filed under the name uncultured bacterium. Its description in RNAcentral is "bacterial SSU rRNA". It matches the Rfam family "Bacterial small subunit ribosomal RNA", at positions 523 to 898 of the family's 1533-position model. The record is from RNAcentral.